UGGGUAUGUCCCUUUCCAUUGCAAUGUUCUUUGUUUAGUACUUGAUCAGUUGUUUGAUUCCUUUUUUUUUCUUUUUUGUUGGACACUCAUUGCUUUUUUCCCCCCUUGUGAUUUUGGGUUUGGUUCUACUGAAUUGUAAGUCGAAGCAAUCUUGCUCGUCUUUCAUUGGUACACUCUUUGUUUUGGUUCUUCAAAGAUCGCGACAAAUUCAAGAUGUCUAAUCCAAGCUCAUGUGUUGUCUCUUUUGCUCGUUCCUUGAUGCCACACAUGCAGCUGGGCUUCUGGUUCCGGUUCCAUGUGGUGAGAGCAUCAGAUUUGGCCGCGCUAGAUUUUUCCUUCUGUCAAACAAAGUCAUGUGUGUUCUAGGUCUAGGUGGAGAUCAAACCUGGCCUUUACAAAGUUUCUAAGCUUCUGCGCGGGGAUUAGGGGCUUUUCUUUACCAAUAUGCCAGAAGAACUUAUGAAGAAAAAAACCAG
Morus notabilis is the source of this 476-nucleotide long non-coding RNA. RefSeq lists it as uncharacterized. The transcript is spliced from 4 exons. The record is from RefSeq and is a predicted model, not a curated record. Lineage: Eukaryota; Viridiplantae; Streptophyta; Magnoliopsida; Rosales; Moraceae.